GGGCAUGGGCGGCAUGCUAUACAUGCAAGUCGAGCGGACAGAUGGGAGCUUGCUCCCUGAUGUUAGCGGCGGACGGGUGAGUAACACGUGGGUAACCUGCCUGUAAGACUGGGAUAACUCCGGGAAACCGGGGCUAAUACCGGAUGGUUGUUUGAACCGCAUGGUUCAAACAUAAAAGGUGGCUUCGGCUACCACUUACAGAUGGACCCGCGGCGCAUUAGCUAGUUGGUGAGGUAACGGCUCACCAAGGCAACGAUGCGUAGCCGACCUGAGAGGGUGAUCGGCCACACUGGGACUGAGACACGGCCCAGACUCCUACGGGAGGCAGCAGUAGGGAAUCUUCCGCAAUGGACGAAAGUCUGACGGAGCAACGCCGCGUGAGUGAUGAAGGUUUUCGGAUCGUAAAGCUCUGUUGUUAGGGAAGAACAAGUACCGUUCGAAUAGGGCGGUACCUUGACGGUACCUAACCAGAAAGCCACGGCUAACUACGUGCCAGCAGCCGCGGUAAUACGUAGGUGGCAAGCGUUGUCCGGAAUUAUUGGGCGUAAAGGGCUCGCAGGCGGUUUCUUAAGUCUGAUGUGAAAGCCCCCGGCUCAACCGGGGAGGGUCAUUGGAAACUGGGGAACUUGAGUGCAGAAGAGGAGAGUGGAAUUCCACGUGUAGCGGUGAAAUGCGUAGAGAUGUGGAGGAACACCAGUGGCGAAGGCGACUCUCUGGUCUGUAACUGACGCUGAGGAGCGAAAGCGUGGGGGAGCGAACAGGAUUAGAUACCCUGGUAGUCCACGCCGUAAACGAUGAGUGCUAAGUGUUAGGGGGUUUCCGCCCCUUUGUGCUGCAGCUAACGCAUUAAGCACUCCGCCUGGGAGUACGGUCGCAAGACUGAAACUCAAAGGAAUUGACGGGGGCCCGCACAAGCGGUGCAGCAUGUGGUUUAAUUCGAAGCAACGCGA
This 950-nucleotide ribosomal RNA is filed under the name Bacillus subtilis. Its description in RNAcentral is "bacterial SSU rRNA". It matches the Rfam family "Bacterial small subunit ribosomal RNA", at positions 31 to 964 of the family's 1533-position model. Lineage: Bacteria; Bacillati; Bacillota; Bacilli; Caryophanales; Bacillaceae. The record is from RNAcentral.